Non-coding RNA from Phalacrocorax carbo (great cormorant), 5183 nucleotides. NCBI's taxonomy places the organism in Eukaryota, Metazoa, Chordata, Aves, Suliformes, Phalacrocoracidae. The record is from RefSeq and is a predicted model, not a curated record.
GGAUCACCAGAGGGGAAAAUACUCGGAGCUUUAACCUCGGCAUUGCGAUAUACAGUACAGCCGAGCACAGCGCGGGAGAGGCGGAAAAUGAGCCCCGUUCUUACACGGUGGAAGAGGAGGGUUAAAUAAAGCAGAGGAAAAAGAAGAUCCUAUUUGCAGCAUUUUUAAAAGUUCUGCUCUGGCAAAGGCCGUCUGAAGGGGAGGCCCUUGCAGCAGGAAUGCGAGCAGCAGCAGCAACCUUUUUUUUUUUUUUUUUUUUUUCCCCUUUCUCAGAGUCCAGCCUCCCCCUUGUGAGCGACUGGAGCAAUCUGGCUAAGGAAGAGGAGGAGGAGGAGGAGGACGUGAGCUAGCGAAACGCAGAGGGCUAGAGCUGAUGAUGAAAGAGAGGCACGGCCCUGCGUGAGCAGGCUCGUUUUCAUCACAGGCAGCGGAGAGAGGGAGAGAGCGGCGCCCCCGCGCCCCCCACCCCGCGCCUCGCACCCCGCCACGCAGGGACACCCGCGCCGGCCCCGCCGGCCCCGGUGCGGGUGGGGACGGCCCCGCCGGGCGGGGCGGGGGGGGACGGGGACCAGGGAGAAAAAGAGCAACCGGGAGGAAGGGCGCUGCGCUGGAAUGUAAAUGCACCCACGCUAUGGCGAGAUGCUUGACAGUGCAGCGCGGCUAAUGAAGCUUUUAAUUGGGGGGGGCGGUCCUAUGGAAAUAUCUUCCGGGAUUAAACCAGAAAGAAGGCUCCUCUUUACAUUUACACAUACCUAGAUGUCUCUCUGUAGCAAAGCAGCCCGCAAGGAGCACGAAACUGCAGCACACACACAGAAGGGAAAAAAAAAAACCCAAACCCACAGAGCUGAAAAUGGAUAUCUGAAAAACUAAAUACUGUAUGUGACAAAAAAACUUCGUGAUUUUGUUUUCUCAUGCCCUUACUUUUAAACCAGCUGCACAGCCCAAGCUCAGGCUGCUUGGCCCUUAUAACUAUCUUGGCACCGAGUCAAAAGCUGAUAAGCAUUUGGGCGAGACAGCUCAACUGCUGUGCUGGAAGAAAAACAGCUGCCAUGAUUGCUGUUUGAUUGAGAGCGCUUACACACACUCACAAAAAAACAUAUCGGACUGCAAAGACGGGCCACAAAUGCCUGAGGAUUCAGCUUCAGAGGAUCAACACACAUUUCCUUUUAAAAAAAAAAAAAAAAAAAAAAAAAGAGUUUUAUAUAGUUUCUCCUCCAUUCCCCCUCCCCUUUUUAAAGAAAACGUACUGCAUCGACUUGCUUUUCUUCUUCCCAUCCCCCCUCCAUAACCUCAAGCAAACUCAAGGAAUUGUGCCAAAAGUCCCGUUGCUAGUUACCCAGUGCAUUUUUUUAAACGUCCCUUUGAUACUUCUUUCCCUCGUGCUUGCCAUGGAAUAUGCAAGUAAGAUAAUCUUUCCAUUACUUACAAGAAGUAAUUAAAAGCUAAAAAGAACUUCUAGCUCGACAUUCCUUUCUCUUUUUCUCUCUUACGGGGCAAAAGGAGGGAAACGAGGGGGAGAAGGAUAUUUUUUCUCUUUGCCGAGUCCAACAUUUGGCUUUUUCCAUUUGUGGCAGAUCACUGUAACGCUAUUGUAAAACAACUUCCUGCCCCUUUUGGCUCACGUUCCAGAAGCUGCUAGGCUAAGUUCAUAGCACAAACUUUUUUCCCCCUUGCCGAAGAAGAGAGACAAAAAAAAAAUUUCCUGCAAAUUAUUUUUCCCCUUUUCUGGCUAAUGGACUCACAAGGUGAAUUUAUUGCAGCUCUUUAAGAAUGUUACACAAGAGACGUCGGUAUCCCAGCUGGAUAAUUCAUGGGCUGAAAAGAUGUAUUCCCACAGAGAGAUACAUUUAAGCAUUCCAGGACCUAUACACAUACAUUUCACAUUUGACAGAAAGUACAGAAUACACAGAAAGGAAGUCAGAAAAUUUGAAGGGACGACUGCCCCGCUCCCAAGCACAGGCUGCGAGCAACGCACAGCAUUAGGCAGCGUGCAUCAGCAGAAGUUCAAACUCGCCCCACUACCAGCAGCUGCAGUGGUGGAGUGACGGCUCUGGGACUCCAAAGCAGACGAAGCAGCAGCAAGGCCUCAACUCAGAGCAUCACGUCUUGAAAGGAACAGUUUCUGUUUGUACAGACAGACCUUUACAUUAUAUUACCUUUACAUUACAUGGCAUGUAAAAUGUUUUUUAAAAAGGGGGUCAUUCCAGUGUUGCCAGCAAAUCAGAAGUUUAUUGGAAAAAAAAAUAUUUAUAAUUUCUCAUUUUGUUAUUUAAAAGAUGAAUCAGCACCUAUGCAGAUUAAAUGUAUUCCAUAAUUUAAUAAAGAUUAUUUUAAUGAAGUUUAUUACAACCUGACAAAACCAAUACAAACACUCUUAUAAGGAAAACAUCCAACGGAGUAUGCUAUUUACACUAACAAAGUACAACACGAACGAUAUCACUGGCGUCACAAAAAAAAAAAAAAAAAAAAGAGGGGGGGGACAAAUUGUGAAAAGCUGCUUCCAGGCUUAUUCAGUGAACUAUGUUUUUCAGUUCUUUAAAAACACUUCCUUUUCAGAAUACUGAAAACUCCCAGGGGAUAUCAGUGACUAAUCCAUGGAAAUUUCAGGUUUCAAAUUUAACCAUUUUUUCCUAGGGCAUAAAUACGUUUUACUGGAGAUUUUAGAUGGAUGAUAAAAAAGCAUUUAAGAGCUGACCUUUUAACAUUUCAAUUUAUAUUCCCAGAAAAUGUUAUCACCAGAAAUGUAAUGCAAUGAUUUUUUUCUUGGUCCACCAAGAAGUUCAAGAAAACUGCACAGAGUUUUUCUAGUGCAAACAACUAACUUAGUAAGAAAAUUGUGUGGGGAAAAAAAAGAUAGACAAAGAGACUUUUUGCCUCUUGGCAACAGGACAGUGAGACUUGGUUCAAAAUAGAGAAUCCUCCCUGACUCAAUUAGAAAUACAUCUGCUUUUCAAAAACUUCUGAAGCCAAAUACCAAAAUCAAAGUUGUCAUCUAAGGCCCAUAUUACUUCCGUCAUUUAUUUGUAAGAAAAUUAAACAAUUCCCCCUUCCCCCACCAACUGUUUUAACAAAAUCACAUACUUCGUCUCUUCUGCAUGUGUGUGCUGUGUGCAAUUGUGUGUAUGGAAGACCUAUACAUGAGAUAGAUAUGUAUGUGUAUGCAUGCAUUUACAGUUUCAUGUUACAACAGCCCAGGAAGGAUGCAUACUAUUAGAGUAAGACUGUAAAUUAAUAAUCAGUUUACAUAAUACUGCUCAAUAGCAAACACAACAUUUUAAUAAUGAGCCUAAAGAUUACUAACAAAGGGUUACAUCUGAAUUAUAACAGGAAAAAUCACAGAACACAUGGUUCAGGACUUUUUUUUUUUUUGUGAGUUAUACAAAUAAAUGCAAUUUAAAAAAUGUUAAUAUAUCUAAAAUACAGCAUUAGAACUAUACAAAAGAGGUUGAUCAUAACAGCACUACAUCAGCAGUAAUUUUAUCCCUUCAACAUUAUCAUAACAGCUUAUUGAUACAUCCGGAGAACACGUACAACUAACUGCUCCGUCACUACCUGCAUGUAAGACCUCGUUCCUGUACUAGAACUGAAACAAUUAGGGAGACUGACAGAAGGAUCAGGGAUUUUGUCUGAUAAAGCACUGCAUGCACAGACCAAUGUGUUGUUCCAGCACUCAGCUGGCAGUGCUCUGAGUUUUCAGCACAGAAGGGAAAGCAAAUAGAUACUUAAGAUUCAUUGUGGGAACUUACAAAACACAAUUUUGCUUUAAUACCGUACUUUCACACAUGCUCAUAUAGCAAAUGGGGAUCCCGUACAUACAGGGGAAAAUUUUAAUAGGAAUAUCAGAUUUACUGUAUUAGUGUUCAGCUUUUACUGGCCAGUUAAUAGCCAAAACCUUAAUCAGUCUAAGAAAUUUAUUGGAAAUCUAUUGGUAAAAGGCCAUUUUGUGCUGGAACCACUAUGUUAUUCCAGCUUUCGUCUUUGCCUUCCCCUAACAGAAAACGCCAUUUUGAGGCUGUCAUGCAUUUUUCUUUCCAAAGCGGAUAAUGCUAGUGGAAAGCACAAGGAUGGUAUUCUGGUACCGCAGAAAAAUAUAGCAAUGCAGUUCCACAGAGAAGUAGUAUUUUUAUUUUUAUGGGUGCAGCUGAAGUCCGUCUUGUAUUUUCUGCUCACCCUAAUAUUAAUUUAAAAACCACACACACAUAAAUGGAUGAUAUGCAGCUAUCUCUAUCCAUCUAGCAUUUUGAAACUUUCACGUAUUUCUUUUUAAGUAUUCAAUGGGAAGAGGCAGAAGAUUUUUUACCAGAAGACAAAUCGGGCAAAUAAGCAUUUACUUCAAAUGAAUUUUGCUGAGUUACACUGGGCCUAAAUAUAUAUCUGGCAGUCCAGUGUUUAGAAAAAUGUUUAGCUUCAAAAAGUAAAGAACAGACUCAGUAAUUUCCGUAGUAUAUCUGAAGCCUGAGCAAUCCCAUGUUCUACAAGACUUUUUUUUUUUUUCCUCUCCUUAGAUAAACUGCUAUAUUGCAAAUCAUUGUCCAAAGGAUCUAGGAAGUCAAUAGGGUAACAGAAAUGGCUUAAUAUUAAAAGUGGAAUAGACAGGUGUACAACAGUUGCUUAAUAGAGGAUGCUGUUAAAUAUGAAUGGUUCUUACUUAGUUUUCACUGCAGGGGGUCACAUUUGGAAACAAUUUUGAUAAAGCAAAAUUAGAAAAAUAAUACGGGAGUUCAUAUUUCUAACUUCAGUAACAUGUUUGUCUAGGAAAUGAAAAAGGUCUUAACCAACAUUAAGCUUUGCAGGUACACUAGAGCUGGAGAAAUCACUGCCAGAAAUAGUAACGCUGAGGAAACAAGUUCACACAGAGAAUAGACUACUCUCUGCCCAUUCUAUCAAUACAAACUUUGCCGGGGUGAAGCUCUUUUUUAAACAUUAAAACAAAAUGAAAAAAAAAAAAAUCCUGAGAGGUUUGAGUCAGGAACAUUCAAAGCAAAAAAUCGCCAAAAGUCUCCACUCAGCAAGAAGCUUUCAGAAGAGGCAUUUCUACUAUGAUAUCUUAAAUUAUCUUAUUGCAUGUUGAAAUAUUUAACAUACACCAAGAAAAAAAGUUCUCGUUUCAAGCAGGUGCUUACUACAGUUAUUGUAAGGUUCCAAUAUGUUUUUGAAUAAAAAGAAGUAUUUUAAAAUUUGAA